GAUGAACGCUGGCGGCGUGCCUAAUACGUGCAAGUAGAACGCUGAAGCUUGGUGCUUGCACCGAGCGGAUGAGUUGCGAACGGGUGAGUAACGCGUAGGUAACCUGCCUCUUAGCGGGGGAUAACUAUUGGAAACGAUAGCUAAUACCGCAUAAAAGUCGAUAUCGCAUGAUAUUGAUUUGAAAGGUGCAAAUGCAUCACUAAGAGAUGGACCUGCGUUGUAUUAGCUAGUUGGUGAGGUAACGGCUCACCAAGGCGACGAUACAUAGCCGACCUGAGAGGGUGAUCGGCCACACUGGGACUGAGACACGGCCCAGACUCCUACGGGAGGCAGCAGUAGGGAAUCUUCGGCAAUGGGGGCAACCCUGACCGAGCAACGCCGCGUGAGUGAAGAAGGUUUUCGGACCGUAAAGCUCUGUUGUAAGAGAAGAACGAGUGUGAGAGUGGAAAGUUCACACUGUGACGGUAACUUACCAGAAAGGGACGGCUAACUACGUG
Molecule: ribosomal RNA, 497 nt
Filed under: uncultured bacterium
Lineage: Bacteria
Description: partial 16S ribosomal RNA
Rfam family: Bacterial small subunit ribosomal RNA
Source: RNAcentral